CCUACGGGAGGCAGCAGUGGGGAAUCUUGCGCAAUGGGCGAAAGCCUGACGCAGCCAUGCCGCGUGAAUGAUGAAGGUCUUAGGAUUGUAAAAUUCUUUCACCGGGACGAUAAUGACGGUACCCGGAGAAGAAGCCCCGGCUAACUUCGUGCCAGCAGCCGCGGUAAU
This 168-nucleotide ribosomal RNA is filed under the name uncultured Brevundimonas sp. RNAcentral describes it as "partial 16S ribosomal RNA". It matches the Rfam family "Bacterial small subunit ribosomal RNA", at positions 338 to 524 of the family's 1533-position model. The record is from RNAcentral. Lineage: Bacteria; Pseudomonadati; Pseudomonadota; Alphaproteobacteria; Caulobacterales; Caulobacteraceae. RNAcentral also lists the same sequence under 1 other name.